RNAcentral lists this ribosomal RNA (373 nucleotides) under uncultured organism. RNAcentral describes it as "partial 16S ribosomal RNA". It matches the Rfam family "Bacterial small subunit ribosomal RNA", at positions 527 to 896 of the family's 1533-position model. The record is from RNAcentral.
GGGGGGAGCAAACGUUGUUCGGAAUCACUGGGCGUAAAGGGCGCGUAGGCGGCCCGGCAAGUGGUGUGUGAAAUGCCCUGGCUCAACCAGGGAACUGCGCCCAAACUGCCGGGCUUGGGGUCAGUAGAGGAAGCUGGAAUUCCUGGUGUAGCGGUGAAAUGCGUAGAUAUCAGGAGGAACAUCGUUGGCGAAGGCGAGCUUCUGGGCUGCACCUGACGCUGAGGCGCGAAAGCUGGGGGAGCAAACAGGAUUAGAUACCCUGGUAGUCCCAGCCGUAAACGGUGAACACUAGGUGUGGGGGGGUGUCGACCCUUCCCCGUGCCCGCAGCUAACGCAUUAAGUGUUCCGCCUGGGGAGUACGGUCGCAAGGCUG